GAUGAAGAACGUAGCGAAAUGCGAUAAGUAAUGUGAAUUGCAGAAUUCAGAGAAUCAUCGAAUCUUUGAACGCACAUUGCGCCCCCUGGUAUACCGGGGGGCAUGCCUGUUCGAGCGUCAUUUCACCACUCAAGCCUCGCUUGGUAUUGGGCAACGCGGUCCGCCGCGUGCCUCAAAUCGACCGGCUGGGUCUUCUGUCCCCUAAGCGUUGUGGAAACUAUUCGCUAAAGGGUGUUCGGGAGGCUACGCCGUAAAACAACCCCAUUUCUAAGGUUGACCUCGGAUCAGGUAGGGAUACCCGCUGAACUUAAGCAUAUCAAUAAGCGGAGGA
RNAcentral lists this unclassified non-coding RNA (331 nucleotides) under soil metagenome. RNAcentral's name for it is "partial contains 5.8S ribosomal RNA, internal transcribed spacer 2, and large subunit ribosomal RNA". The stretch from base 1 to 120 matches the Rfam family "5.8S ribosomal RNA", at positions 35 to 154 of the family's 154-position model. The record is from RNAcentral.